AGAGUUUGAUCCUGGCUCAGGAUGAACGCUAGCGGAAGGCUUAAUACAUGCAAGUCGAGCGGUAGGUGGCUUCGGCCAUUGAGAGCGGCGCACGGGUGAGUAACGCGUACAUGACCUGCCUGUCAGAAGGGGAUAGCCCUGGGAAACUGGGAUUAAUACCCUAUGGUAUUGAUAUUAUGAAUGAUAUCAAUUAAAGUUGAGGCGCUGACAGAUGGAUGUGCGUCUGAUUAGUUAGUUGGCGGGGUAACGGCCCACCAAGACGAUGAUCAGUAGGGGAACUGAGAGGUUGAUCCCCCACACUGGCACUGAGAUACGGGCCAGACUCCUACGGGAGGCAGCAGUAGGGAAUAUUGGUCAAUGGGUGCAAGCCUGAACCAGCCAUGCCGCGUGCAGGAAGAAGGCGUUAUGCGUUGUAAACUGCUUUUGCCAGGGGAUAAAAUUUCCUUGCGAGGAACAUUGAAGGUACCUGGUGAAUAAGCCACGGCUAACUACGUGCCAGCAGCCGCGGUAAUACGUAGGUGGCAAGCGUUGUCCGGAUUUAUUGGGUUUAAAGGGUGCGUAGGCGGCCCUGUAAGUCAGUGGUGAAAUACUCUAGCUUAACUAGAGGGGUGCCAUUGAUACUGCAGGGCUUGAGUGGAGUCGAAGUACGCGGAAUUGACGGUGUAGCGGUGAAAUGCUUAGAUAUCGUCAAGAACACCGAUAGUGAAGACAGUUUACUAGGCUUCUACUGACGCUGAGGCACGAAAGUGUGGGGAUCAAACAGGAUUAGAUACCCUGGUAGUCACACUGUAAACGUUGAUUACUCGCUGUUGGCGAUACACAGACAGCCGGCCAAGCGCAAGCGAUAAGUAAUCAG
This 856-nucleotide ribosomal RNA is filed under the name uncultured bacterium. RNAcentral's name for it is "bacterial SSU rRNA". It matches the Rfam family "Bacterial small subunit ribosomal RNA", at positions 8 to 871 of the family's 1533-position model. The record is from RNAcentral.